CAAACUGUUUUACUUCACAUUGUAUUUUCAGGGAACUUAAAAUGUAAAGUCAUCCUCAGUACAUUGUGCAGAAAAUGGGUGCAUUAACCUCUGCUCUGGAUCAUGCUGCUGUCACAGCACCGUGCCCCUGCUCACAAACAGGAUGUCACCUCCCUGCCCUUGCCUCCUGUAGGAGAUGGGUGCGGCCAUCUGCCAAGCAUUUUACAGACUCAGAACAGAACUGCUUAAGAGCUGAACAUGAAGAAUCCUCUGGAUAGCUGAAUUUGGAAUCGACCACUGCUUUUCAAGAGGUCUGUGAAUGGGCUGGAGAAAGCCUUGAUGAGAGCAAUCAUGCAACUUGAAAAUACAGCCUGUGAGGAAGGCUUGAAAGGAUUCGGUAUAUUUAACCUGGAUAAGAGAAGGCAGAGAGGAGACAUGGCCACAAAUACAUGGAAGACUGAAGCAAAGAGAGAAGAAAUAAACUGCUGGAGAGGACAAAAUGUUGUGAGCUUACACUACAGCUGAGGAGACAGAGCAGACAUCAGGAAGCCUUUCUCAUUGCCAAUAAUCUACUUUUAAAAGAAGAAUAAGAACUGUUAUGCAACAAAGUCACAGCGGUGAGCAACUUGAUGGGAUAUAAAUGAGGGAGACAAUCAAAAAAAGCCAGAUGGCAUAAGCCAGUAAUGGCCAAAUAAUUCAUCAUUCCACAGACUUGCGAUGGACUGGCCCCCAAAUGAGGCCUGGAAUGUUGGAAAUCUUUUCAUGCUGCUACAGGAGACAGCCGCACCGACUGGCUCAUGCUGAGACACCCUUCUCAGGUACUUGUGAAAUCAAGUGUUAUUUCAAGUAAGCCCAACUACAUAAUUUUUGAUGUUGUUUGUAUUAUUUCCAUUUUUUUGAUUAAAGCUGUUAGCCAGAGUGGAGAUUAAUGGGUUGCCUGUGUUAGAAGACAAUUACACGAUGAUGCUAAGCAUUCCUUUGAUGAAGUCCUGUUUGCUUAUGAAGUAUGGAAAAAUAUUCUUUCCAAAAGUAUUGGAUUAAAUGAACCACAGAUUUUUGUGCACAGUACUUAGGCCAAAGCCAAUAUUUUCACCAAAAGGCUUUCUCAAAUUUUUCUCAUGUCAACAGCCUAAAAUGCAGUUUUCGUUUCUCACCCUGUGUCCCUAGUAUAUGCAUGUUUGCUUCUUUUCUCUCACACAAAUGCAAA
Molecule: long non-coding RNA, 1186 nt
Organism: Numida meleagris (helmeted guineafowl)
Lineage: Eukaryota; Metazoa; Chordata; Aves; Galliformes; Numididae
Exons: 5
Source: RefSeq, a predicted model, not a curated record